UGACCACUUUCCUACAAGAGAGUUAAGGCCAUACGGACAGCCGGGUCAAAUGCCGA
RNAcentral lists this small RNA (56 nucleotides) under uncultured Paenibacillus sp. Its description in RNAcentral is "Streptococcus sRNA SpF59 (ldcC RNA)". It matches the Rfam family "Streptococcus sRNA SpF59 (ldcC RNA)". The record is from RNAcentral. Lineage: Bacteria; Bacillati; Bacillota; Bacilli; Caryophanales; Paenibacillaceae.